This 279-nucleotide unclassified non-coding RNA is filed under the name Hevea brasiliensis (rubber tree). The record is from RNAcentral. Lineage: Eukaryota; Viridiplantae; Streptophyta; Magnoliopsida; Malpighiales; Euphorbiaceae.
ACAAUUGCAGGACAAGCAAAACCAAUGUCUGUUCAAGUGCAGUACAAAAAUGGUACCAAAUUGAAAAUUUGAAACCAAAUUUAAUAGUCACUUUCCUGCACACGAAAUGUGCCAAAAAGAAAAGAAAGUCAUUUACAACUAGAGUAUUUCUGACAACUGCUAUAGCAGGGUGCACACCUCAACGAGAGUUUUAAGCAUAUGAAUGGUGUCUGUGACGAUCCUUAUCCCUCGACGAAUAAGAAGAGCUGUGAUAGUCACGAUCACGUGAUGAAAGAUAUC